UACGUAGGGGCUAGCGUUAUCCGGAAUUACUGGGCGUAAAGGGUGCGUAGGUGGUUUCUUAAGUCAGAGGUGAAAGGAUACGGCUCAACCGUAGUAAGCCUUUGAAACUGGGAAACUUGAGUGCAGGAGAGGAGAGUGGAAUUCCUAGUGUAGCGGUGAAAUGCGUAGAUAUUAGGAGGAACACCAGUAGCGAAGGCGGCUCUCUGGACUGUAACUGACGCUGAGGCACGAAAGCGUGGGGAGCAAACAGGAUUAGAUACCCCCGUAGUCCCUGAGCGGG
Molecule: ribosomal RNA, 280 nt
Filed under: uncultured prokaryote
Description: partial 16S ribosomal RNA
Rfam family: Bacterial small subunit ribosomal RNA
Source: RNAcentral